This 38-nucleotide small nucleolar RNA is filed under the name Canis lupus dingo (dingo). Lineage: Eukaryota; Metazoa; Chordata; Mammalia; Carnivora; Canidae. The record is from RNAcentral.
UCACAACCAUGAGAAGAGUCACAUGCUCUACCAACUGA